UCCAAUGUCUGUAGACAUCAAUUUUGCCCAGC
This 32-nucleotide non-coding RNA is filed under the name Mus musculus (house mouse). Lineage: Eukaryota; Metazoa; Chordata; Mammalia; Rodentia; Muridae. The record is from RNAcentral.